This 241-nucleotide ribosomal RNA is filed under the name uncultured Staphylococcus sp. RNAcentral's name for it is "partial 16S ribosomal RNA". It matches the Rfam family "Bacterial small subunit ribosomal RNA", at positions 99 to 334 of the family's 1533-position model. The record is from RNAcentral. Lineage: Bacteria; Bacillati; Bacillota; Bacilli; Caryophanales; Staphylococcaceae.
CGGACGGGUGAGUAACACGUGGAUAACCUACCUAUAAGACUGGGAUAACUUCGGGAAACCGGAGCUAAUACCGGAUAAUAUAUUGAACCGCAUGGUUCAAUAGUGAAAGACGGUUUUGAUGUCACUUAUAGAUGGAUCCGCGCCGCAUUAGCUAGUUGGUAAGGUAACGGCUUACCAAGGCAACGAUGCGUAGCCGACCUGAGAGGGUGAUCGGCCACACUGGAACUGAGACACGGUCCAG